This is a small nucleolar RNA of Arvicanthis niloticus (Nile rat), 144 nucleotides long. RefSeq annotates it as small nucleolar RNA SNORA48. The record is from RefSeq and is a predicted model, not a curated record. Lineage: Eukaryota; Metazoa; Chordata; Mammalia; Rodentia; Muridae.
GCCUCCUGGUAGUGGGCAAAGAGACACCUUGUUGGUGGUGAUGCUUUCAUAUCAGUCAGGAACAGAGCAGAUGGCAGUCCUUUGUUCAUCCUAGCUUGAUGCCUGGCUUGGUGGCCAAAGCUCUUUUAUGCCUAGGACACAUAA